Molecule: ribosomal RNA, 465 nt
Filed under: uncultured bacterium
Lineage: Bacteria
Description: partial 16S ribosomal RNA
Rfam family: Bacterial small subunit ribosomal RNA
Source: RNAcentral
GACGAACGCUGGCGGCGUGCUUAACACAUGCAAGUCGAACGGAAAGGCCCUGCUUGCAGGGUACUCGAGUGGCGAACGGGUGAGUAACACGUGGGUGAUCUGCCCUGCACUUCGGGAUAAGCCUGGGAAACUGGGUCUAAUACCGGAUAGGAGCCAUUUUUAGUGUGAUGGUUGGAAAGUUUUUUCGGUGUAGGAUGAGCUCGCGGCCUAUCAGCUUGUUGGUGGGGUAAUGGCCUACCAAGGCGGCGGCGGGUAGCCGGCCCGGGAGGGUGGACGGCCACAUUGGGACUGAGAUACGGCCCAGACUCCUACGGGUGGCAGCAGUGGGGAAUAUUGCUCAAUGGGCGCAAGCCUGAUGCAGCGACGCCGCGUGGGGGAUGACGGCCUUCGGGUUGUAAACUCCUUUCGCUAGGGACGAAGCUUUUUGUGACGGUACCUAGAUAAGAAGCACCGGCUAACUACGUG